UACCAGACUCCUACGGGAGGCAGCAGUGAGGAAUAUUGGUCAAUGGGCGGAAGCCUGAACCAGCCAAGUCGCGUGAGGGAAGACGGUCCUACGGAUUGUAAACCUCUUUUGCCGGGGAGCAACGGGGUCCUUGCGAGGGCCCGAUGAGAGUACCCGGAGAAAAAGCAUCGGCUAACUCCGUGCCAGCAGCCGCGGUAAUACGGAGGAUGCGAGCGUUAUCCGGAUUUAUUGGGUUUAAAGGGUGCGUAGGCGGACGCUUAAGUCAGCGGUAAAAUUGCGGGGCUCAACCUCGUCGAGCCGUUGAAACUGGGUGCCUUGAGUGGGCGAGAAGUACGCGGAAUGCGUGGUGUAGCGGUGAAAUGCAUAGAUAUCACGAAGAACUCCGAUUGCGAAGGCAGCCUGCUGGACUGUAACUGACGCUGAUGCUCGAAAGUGUGGGUAUCAAACAGGAUUAGAUACCCCAGUAAU
This 468-nucleotide ribosomal RNA is filed under the name uncultured bacterium. RNAcentral's name for it is "bacterial SSU rRNA". It matches the Rfam family "Bacterial small subunit ribosomal RNA", at positions 329 to 794 of the family's 1533-position model. The record is from RNAcentral.